CCUACGGGAGGCAGCAGUGGGGAAUCUUGCGCAAUGGGCGAAAGCCUGACGCAGCCAUGCCGCGUGAAUGAUGAAGGUCUUAGGAUUGUAAAAUUCUUUCACCGAGGACGAUAAUGACGGUACUCGGAGAAGAAGCCCCGGCUAACUUCGUGCCAGCAGCCGCGGUAAUACGAAGGGGGCUAGCGUUGCUCGGAAUUACUGGGCGUAAAGGGAGCGUAGGCGGAUAGUUUAGUCAGAGGUGAAAGCCCAGGGCUCAACCUUGGAAUUGCCUUUGAUACUGGCUAUCUUGAGUACGGAAGAGGUAUGUGGAACUCCGAGUGUAGAGGUGAAAUUCGUAGAUAUUCGGAAGAACACCAGUGGCGAAGGCGACAUACUGGUCCGUUACUGACGCUGAGGCUCGAAAGCGUGGGGAGCAAACAGGAUUAGAUACCCUGGUAGUCCACGCUGUAAACGAUGAGUGCUAGUUGUCGGCAUGCAUGCAUGUCGGUGACGCAGCUAACGCAUUAAGCACUCCGCCUGGGGAGUACGGUCGCAAGAUUAAAAACUCAAAAGGAAUUGACGG
RNAcentral lists this ribosomal RNA (562 nucleotides) under uncultured bacterium. RNAcentral's name for it is "bacterial SSU rRNA". It matches the Rfam family "Bacterial small subunit ribosomal RNA", at positions 338 to 916 of the family's 1533-position model. The record is from RNAcentral.